UAAAAGGUAAUGAUGAGGCGAGUAAGUUAAAAACAUUUUUAAGAGAGAGAAUAUCGUGGCUGUAAGUAUUCUCAAACAUGAUUAACUGAAAACUACCUCUAAACUACAAUCGAAAGAAUAGUCGUUCUCCUGCGUUAAAGGAAGUUAAGAAAAUGGAAAACAGAAAAUUAAGACCAACUUUUAAUUUUCAACUUUCUAUUUAAAUAAGGGUGGAACCACGAGAAAUCUCGUCCCGUAU
Molecule: non-coding RNA, 238 nt
Filed under: Clostridiales bacterium
Lineage: Bacteria; Bacillati; Bacillota; Clostridia; Eubacteriales
Description: T-box sequence
Rfam family: T-box leader
About the family: Uncharged tRNA acts as the effector for transcription antitermination of genes in the T-box leader family. T-boxes are found upstream of many aminoacyl-tRNA synthetase genes and some amino acid biosynthetic genes usually in Gram-positive bacteria.
Source: RNAcentral